RNAcentral lists this ribosomal RNA (396 nucleotides) under uncultured bacterium. RNAcentral describes it as "partial 16S ribosomal RNA". It matches the Rfam family "Bacterial small subunit ribosomal RNA", at positions 523 to 918 of the family's 1533-position model. The record is from RNAcentral.
AUACGAAGGGUGCAAGCGUUAAUCGGAAUUACUGGGCGUAAAGCGCGCGUAGGUGGUUUUGUAAGUUGGAGGUGAAAGCCCCGGGCUCAACCUGGGAAUUGCCUCCAAAACUGCAUGACUAGAGUACGGUAGAGGGUAGUGGAAUUUCCUGUGUAGCGGUGAAAUGCGUAGAUAUAGGAAGGAACACCAGUGGCGAAGGCGACUACCUGGACGGAAACUGACACUGAGGUCCGAAAGCGUGGGGAUCAAACAGGAUUAGAUACCCUGGUAGUCCACGCCGUAAACGAUGUCAACUAGCCGUUGGGAUCCUUGAGAUCUUAGUGGCGCAGCUAACGCAUUAAGUUGACCGCCUGGGGAGUACGGCCGCAAGGUUACAACUCAAAUGAAUUGGCGGGG